ACGGGUGAGUAACGCGUAAAGAACUUGCCUCACAGCUAGGGACAACAUUUAGAAAUGAAUGCUAAUACCUAAUAUUAUGAUAAUAGGGCAUCCUAUAAUUAUGAAAGCUAUAUGCGCUGUGAGAGAGCUUUGCGUCCCAUUAGCUAGUUGGAGAGGUAACGGCUCACCAAGGCGAUGAUGGGUAGCCGGCCUGAGAGGGUGAUCGGCCACAAGGGGACUGAGACACGGCCCUUACUCCUACGGGAGGCAGCAGUGGGGAAUAUUGGACAAUGGACCGAGAGUCUGAUCCAGCAAUUCUGUGUGCACGAUGAAGUUUUUCGGAAUGUAAAGUGCUUUCAGUUGGGAAGAAAUAAAUGACGGUACCAACAGAAGAAGUGACGGCUAAAUACGUGCCAGCAGCCGCGGUAAUACGUAUGUCACGAGCGUUAUCCGGAUUUAUUGGGCGUAAAGCGCGUCUAGGUGGUUAUAUAAGUCUGAUGUGAAAAUGCAGGGCUCAACUCUGUAUUGCGUUGGAAACUGUAUAACUAGAGUACUGGAGAGGUAAGCGGAACUACAAGUGUAGAGGUGAAAUUCGUAGAUAUUUGUAGGAAUGCCGAUGGGGAAGCCAGCUUACUGGACAGAUACUGACGCUGAAGCGCGAAAGCGUGGGUAGCAAACAGGAUUAGAUACCCUGGUAGUCCACGCUGUAAACG
Molecule: ribosomal RNA, 692 nt
Filed under: uncultured bacterium
Lineage: Bacteria
Description: bacterial SSU rRNA
Rfam family: Bacterial small subunit ribosomal RNA
Source: RNAcentral